This 165-nucleotide ribosomal RNA is filed under the name uncultured bacterium. Its description in RNAcentral is "partial 16S rRNA". It matches the Rfam family "Bacterial small subunit ribosomal RNA", at positions 355 to 511 of the family's 1533-position model. The record is from RNAcentral.
UAGGGAAUCUUCCACAAAUGGACGCAAGUCUGAUGGAGCAACGCCGCGUGAGUGAAGAAGGGUUUCGGCUCGUAAAGCUCUGUUGUUAAAGAAGAACGUGGGUAAGAGUAACUGUUUACCCAGUGACGGUAUUUAACCAGAAAGCCACGGCUAAAUACGUCCCAG